AACGAACGCUGGCGGCAUGCCUAACACAUGCAAGUCGAACGAGACCUUCGGGUCUGGUGGCGCACGGGUGCGUAACGCGUGGGAACCUGCCCUUAGGUUCGGAAUAACUCCCCGAAAGGGGUGCUAAUACCGGAUAAUGUCUUCGGACCAAAGAUUUAUCGCCUUUGGAUGGGCCCGCGUUGGAUUAGCUAGUUGGUAGGGUAAAAGCCUACCAAGGCGUCGAUCCAUAGCUGGUCUGAGAGGAUGAUCAGCCACACUGGGACUGAGACACGGCCCAGACUCCUACGGGAGGCAGCAGUGGGGAAUAUUGGACAAUGGGCGAAAGCCUGAUCCAGCAAUGCCGCGUGAGUGAUGAAGGCCUUAGGGUUGUAAAGCUCUUUUACCCGGGAUGAUAAUGACAGUACCGGGAGAAUAAGCUCCGGCUAACUCCGUG
Molecule: ribosomal RNA, 433 nt
Filed under: uncultured bacterium
Lineage: Bacteria
Description: partial 16S ribosomal RNA
Rfam family: Bacterial small subunit ribosomal RNA
Source: RNAcentral